UCCCAGUUCGGAUCGCAGGCUGCAACCCGCCUGCGUGAAGUUGGAAUCGCUAGUAAUCGCGGAUCAGCAUGCCGCGGUGAAUACGUUCCCGGGCCUUGUACACACCGCCCGUCACACCAUGAGAGUCGGGAACACCCGAAGUCCGUAGCCUGACCGCAAGGGGGCGCGGCCGAAGGUGGGUUCGAUAAUUGGGGUGAAGUCGUAACAAGGUAUC
This 214-nucleotide ribosomal RNA is filed under the name uncultured bacterium. RNAcentral describes it as "partial 16S ribosomal RNA". It matches the Rfam family "Bacterial small subunit ribosomal RNA", at positions 1286 to 1500 of the family's 1533-position model. The record is from RNAcentral.